Molecule: ribosomal RNA, 441 nt
Filed under: uncultured bacterium
Lineage: Bacteria
Description: partial 16S ribosomal RNA
Rfam family: Bacterial small subunit ribosomal RNA
Source: RNAcentral
CCUACGGGAGGCUGCAGUGGGGAAUCUUGCACAAUGGGGGAAACCCUGAUGCAGCAACGCCGCGUGAGUGAAGAAGUAUUUCGGUAUGUAAAGCUCUAUCAGCAGGGAAGAAGAAAGACGGUACCUGACUUAGACGCCCCGGCAAACUACGUGCAAGCAGCCGCGGUAAACCGAAGGGGGCAAGCGUUAUCCGGAUUUACUGGGUGUAAAGGGAGCGUAGACGGCUGUGCAAGUCUGAAGUGAAAGCCCGUGGCUCAACCGCGGAACUGCUUUGGAAACUGGAUAGCUUGAGUACUGGAGAGGCAGGCGGAAUUCCUAGUGUAGCGGUGAAAUGCGUAGAUAUUAGGAGGAACACCAGUGGCGAAGGCGGCCGGCUGGACAGAAACUGACGUUGAGGCUCGAAAGCGUGGGGAGCGAACAGGAUUAGAUACCCCAGUAGUC